Molecule: unclassified non-coding RNA, 632 nt
Filed under: Hevea brasiliensis (rubber tree)
Lineage: Eukaryota; Viridiplantae; Streptophyta; Magnoliopsida; Malpighiales; Euphorbiaceae
Source: RNAcentral
CUCAAUGUGUGAAAUGUGCAUAAUAAGGUAAAUUAGUUCAACAGAUCACUUAAGACCACUGUCUUCAUUAUCUAUCUUCUCUUGUUGCCCCUUACAAUGUAUUUUCUCACCUUCCUCAAACUUUCCAAAACUCAAACAUACACAAAGGAGAAGGUCAAAUGAAUUUUAGCUUACAAAAUGACUUUGUUUUUUCUUUUUUUGCCCAGAGGGAAAGACAUGCACAAAUAUGAGUGUGUGCGUGUGGGGUUAUCAAUUUGUUUAGCAUCUUCUGAGUCUAUCUUGGCGGUUAAGCUCAUUUGAAUAACAGCCAAGAAUACUCCAGUCCCCAAAAUACAAGAGAACAGAUCCCUUAUUCCAUCUGUUGAAUUUGCUAAAUUGCAUAGAAGUUUGUAGAGGUCAAUAACUAUAUUGCAUUUGCAGAAGACCAUAAGAAUCAGUAUAUAAGAGCACAACUAAUAGUUGAUCCCAAUCCAUACAUCAUUGUAAUGGUGUCGUGCAACUUCAGUAUUAUAUGCAUUCCUUUAUCAAGGAAAUAGGAUGUUAAUAAAAUAAAUAUAAAAAGCAUCCACUUCUAAUGGAAAGGGAAUGGAUUUUUUUUAUAUGGAUUUUUUGCUGAAGAAAAAAGAAAACUA